RNAcentral lists this long non-coding RNA (1606 nucleotides) under Homo sapiens (human). Its description in RNAcentral is "HSALNT0289880". Lineage: Eukaryota; Metazoa; Chordata; Mammalia; Primates; Hominidae. The record is from RNAcentral.
ACAACGGUGUAUUUUGCUAUUUUUAUCAGAAUUCAUCAUUUUCAUAUUAAUCCAAUUAGCAUCCUGUUUACCAAUACCUCAUUUUUUAAUUUGCAGCUUCCUUCUAAAAGCUUGGGGGGGACUUUCACAACUCGAUCUGUCCUCCCUCAUUACUGCCAAAUAAUUAGUCAAGGAGCCGUCCCUGAUCAAAAAUUAAGAACCCAGAAGCAAGUUGGAGCAUGCCUCGCUCCAGAAGAAAACAUGACAGGAGACUCUUGUAAUUAUGAGGGGACUGGUUGGUAGUCAUGAUGCAGCCGGCAAAGACUGUGAUAGCAGGAAGGAGAGACCUGCACUGAAUCGUGAGCGUGGCCGAUCACAGCUCAUUAACUAGCUUGGAGUUUGCAUCUCCUGUUUAACUGACAAAGACCGCAGAGUCUUUCCUCUGUAAUUUGGGGGCUGACUUCACCCUGCAUUGUGCAUGGUGCAAAUUGCGAGGACCAUAAAGAGAGGAUGCUUGGUGACAUGAAAGGACCUCCGUGGCUGGCCUUACUCCCUGUGGAUGCCACAGCUGCAGGAUCCUGGGGCCCCAACAGAAGCCGGUGAAGGAAGAGUUCCUGCUCCAGCAGAACAAAACUGCCCUUUGCCCAGAAAUCCUGCAAACUGAGGCUGGACGACUUGAAAUACUCAUCAGCGAGAUUACCACGAAGCCCAGGUGCGAGGGACCCUCACGCCUGUUGCUGCGUGGGCCGCCCAGACAUCGCCAGAGACCAAACCGCAGAAGAUGCUCGGAGCCCAACAUCUACAAACCUGCCCCGCCACGGCCCCCAGGCUCAGAAACUGGUUUUUAGUCAGCUCCAAUGAUUAGCUUUUUUUUUUUUUCUUUUGUUUCCAUAGAAAUGCCUCUUCAAAGCAUUAUGGGACAACACACCCACCCAGUUUCUGUACCGUGGAGCUUCUUGGGGAAGUUUCAGACUAGGAAACAAUGGGGCUCAGGACACAUCACCCCAAAGUAUGACUGUAGGAGACCAGAAUACGCCACCCCUAAAUAUGACUAUAGGAGACCAGAAUACGUCACCCCAAAAUAUGACUGUAGGAGACCAGAAUACGCCACCCCAAAAUAUGACUGUAGGAGACCAGAAUACGCCACCCCAAAAUAUGACUGUAGGAGACCAGAAUACGCCACCCCUAAAUAUGACUGUAGGAGACUAGAAUACGUCACCCCAAAAUAUGACUGUAGGAGACCAGAAUACGUCACCCCAAAAUAUGACUGUAGGAGACCAGAAUACGUCACCCCAAAAUAUGCCAUGUUGACAUGUUGAUUACUUUGAGCUAAAAGCAACUGAGAACCAGCCAACAGAAAAAAAGCUCUUCAGCUCCCUAAAAUAAAGUAAAAAACUCUCUUUUCUAAAGAAAAUUGACAUCUAUAAAGGACAUUUUCAUUAGUAAUGGUCUGUGUGCCAGGAAGAGAGCCGCGCGCCAAGACGCAUUUUCUCACCAUGAGACUGAUAGCUGCACCACGAGGCAGCCUUUAUGCCCAGACGUUUCCUCCCUCACCCUCUCCUCAUUUGUCUCUACCGCUCCCCAGAAGCCCAGGCCCCCUUUCCUUUCUGUCACAGAGGACGGACAU